RNAcentral lists this ribosomal RNA (582 nucleotides) under Trechus strasseri. RNAcentral describes it as "partial 16S ribosomal RNA". The stretch from base 342 to 500 matches the Rfam family "Bacterial large subunit ribosomal RNA", at positions 2473 to 2632 of the family's 2925-position model. The record is from RNAcentral. Lineage: Eukaryota; Metazoa; Arthropoda; Insecta; Coleoptera; Carabidae.
AAUGGCUGCAGUAAUUUGACUGUACAAAGGUAGCAUAAUCAUUAGUUUUUUAAUUAAAAGCUUGUAUGAAAGGUUGGACGAAAUAAAAUCUGUCUCUUUUUAAUAAAAAUUAGAAUUUAAUAUUUAAGUUAAAAAGCUUAAAUUUUUAUAAAAGACGAGAAGACCCUAUAGAGUUUUAUAUUUUUAAUUUAAUAAUUAAUUUAGAUUUAUUAAUUUUAUUUAAUUAAAAUUAUUUUAUUGGGGUAAUAGAAAGAUUAAAAAAAUUCUUUUUUUAAUAAAUCAUUAAUAUAUGAAAAUUUAUGAUCCAUAAAAUUUUGAAUAUAAGAUUAAAUUACCUUAGGGAUAACAGCGUAAUUUUUUUUUAGAGUUCUUAUCGAUAAAAAAGUUUGCGACCUCGAUGUUGGAUUAAAGAUUAGUUUAGGUGUAGAAGUUUAAAUUUUUGGUCUGUUCGACCAUUAAAUCUUUACAUGAUCUGAGUUCAAACCGGUGUAAGCCAGGUUGGUUUCUAUCUUUAUUAUAUUUUUAUAUUUUAGUACGAAAGGACCAAAUAUAAUGUAUAUGAAUACUUAUUUUAAUGAAUAU